RNAcentral lists this ribosomal RNA (550 nucleotides) under uncultured bacterium. RNAcentral's name for it is "partial 16S ribosomal RNA". It matches the Rfam family "Bacterial small subunit ribosomal RNA", at positions 355 to 895 of the family's 1533-position model. The record is from RNAcentral.
UGGGGAAUAUUGCACAAUGGGCGCAAGCCUGAUGCAGCCAUGCCGCGUGUGUGAAGAAGGCCUUCGGGUUGUAAAGCACUUUCAGCGAGGAGGAAGGUGGUGAGCUUAAUACGCUCAUCAAUUGACGUUACUCGCAGAAGAAGCACCGGCUAACUCCGUGCCAGCAGCCGCGGUAAUACGGAGGGUGCAAGCGUUAAUCGGAGUUACUGGGCGUAAAGCGCACGCAGGCGGUUUGUUAAGUCAGAUGUGAAAUCCCCGGGCUCAACCUGGGAACUGCAUUUGAAACUGGCAAGCUAGAGUCUCGUAGAGGGGGGUAGAAUUCCAGGUGUAGCGGUGAAAUGCGUAGAGAUCUGGAGGAAUACCGGUGGCGAAGGCGGCCCCCUGGACGAAGACUGACGCUCAGGUGCGAAAGCGUGGGGCAGCAAACAGGAUUAGAUACCCUGGUAGUCCACGCUGUAAACGAUGUCGAUUUUGGAGGUUGUGCCCUUGAGGCGUGGCUUCCGGAGCUAACGCGUUAAAUCGACCGCCUGGGGAGUACGGCCGCAAGGUU